UACCGAGGGUGCAAACGUUGCUCGGAAUCAUUGGGCGUAAAGCGCACGUAGGCGGCGCGUUAAGUCGGGUGUGAAAGCCCUGGGCUCAACCCAGGAAGUGCAUUCGAAACUGGCGCGCUUGAAUAUGGAAGAGGGUCGCGGAAUUCCCGGUGUAGAGGUGAAAUUCGUAGAUAUCGGGAGGAACACCAGUGGCGAAGGCGGCGACCUGGGCCAAUAUUGACGCUGAGGUGCGAAAGCGUGGGGAGCAAACAGG
This 253-nucleotide ribosomal RNA is filed under the name uncultured bacterium. RNAcentral's name for it is "partial 16S ribosomal RNA". It matches the Rfam family "Bacterial small subunit ribosomal RNA", at positions 524 to 776 of the family's 1533-position model. The record is from RNAcentral.